Molecule: long non-coding RNA, 488 nt
Filed under: Zonotrichia albicollis (white-throated sparrow)
Lineage: Eukaryota; Metazoa; Chordata; Aves; Passeriformes; Passerellidae
Description: lncRNA (ENSZALG00000006031.1)
Source: RNAcentral
CAUAAAUUCAGAUGAGCACAGUAAGAUAAAUGCUUCCUAAAUCCAAAUCUCAAAGUGACAUUAAUGGUGACCUUUUUUUUUUUUAAUUAGAGUGAUAGUGAUUCAGAUCUGCUGAGGAUCUCACCCUUAGAGUUACCUGACCUGAUAAUAUUUUUUGCUGAUGCUCCAUUUAUAUGAGUACAACAGAGGGACCUCAAAGACUACAGCAAUUACUCAUAUAUGGUUUGAUGCCCUUUUUUUCCACCACCGAGGCUCAAGGGAACAACUGUGGUAUGAAAGGAAAAAUUAAUCCUGGGGUCUUCAAAACAGAACACAGUGACCUCAGUCAAAACUCUUUGCACAUAGAAAAAAAUCCUGAAAACCAGUGUUGCACACAGAGAAUGACACAUGGACAUGUUUGGGAAGUGGCAAAGGAGGAGAAAAUUAUUUUUGCACAAAUGAAAGAAGAGCUUCUGGGUCCUCCUCUCUUCCCCCUGUUCUCUUUUUGA